This 468-nucleotide ribosomal RNA is filed under the name uncultured bacterium. RNAcentral describes it as "bacterial SSU rRNA". It matches the Rfam family "Bacterial small subunit ribosomal RNA", at positions 30 to 518 of the family's 1533-position model. The record is from RNAcentral.
UGAACGCUGGCGGCGUGCCUAACACAUUCAAGUCGAACGAACUGUAGAAAUACAGUGAGUGGCGGACGGGUGAGUAACGCGUAAGCAAUCUGCCUUUGUGUGUGGAAUAACAACCGGAAACAGUUGCUAAUACCGCAUAACGCAUAGGAGUCGCAUGGCUCUUAUGCCAAAGAUUUAUCGCACGAAGAUGAGCUUGCGUCCGAUUAGAUAGUUGGCGGGGUAACGGCCCACCAAGUCUACGAUCGGUAGCCGGACUGAGAGGUUGAACGGCCACAUUGGAACUGAGAUACGGUCCAGACUCCUACGGGAGGCAGCAGUGGGGAAUAUUGGGCAAUGGACGAAAGUCUGAACCCCAGCGACGCCGCGUGAGGGAAGAAGGUCUUCGGAUUGUAAACCUUAGUCAACAGGGACGAAGCAAGUGACGGUACCUGUGGAGGAAGCCACGGCUAACUACGUGCCAGCCGCUGC